GCGCCCGUAGCUCAGCGGAAUUAGAGUAUCUGGCUUCGAACCAGAGGGUCGCAGGUUCAAAUCCUGCCGGGCGCGCCA
This 78-nucleotide transfer RNA is filed under the name SAR202 cluster bacterium. RNAcentral describes it as "tRNA-Arg". It matches the Rfam family "tRNA". Rfam says of the family: Transfer RNA (tRNA) molecules are approximately 80 nucleotides in length. Their secondary structure includes four short double-helical elements and three loops (D, anti-codon, and T loops). The record is from RNAcentral. Lineage: Bacteria; Bacillati; Chloroflexota; Dehalococcoidia.